RNAcentral lists this ribosomal RNA (223 nucleotides) under uncultured bacterium. RNAcentral's name for it is "partial 16S ribosomal RNA". It matches the Rfam family "Bacterial small subunit ribosomal RNA", at positions 524 to 743 of the family's 1533-position model. The record is from RNAcentral.
UACGGGGGGGGCAAGCGUUGUUCGGAAUUACUGGGCGUAAAGAGCGUGUAGGCGGUCCGGUAAGUCCGCUGUGAAAGUCGGGGGGCUCAACCCUCGAAUGCCGGUGGAUACUGUCGGGCUAGAGUGCGGAAGAGGCGAGUGGAAUUCCUGGGUGUAGCGGUGGAAUGCGCAGAUAUCAGGAGGAACACCGAGUGGCGAAGGCAGGUCUCUGGGCCACUACUGA